UACGUAGGGUGCAAGCGUUAAUCGGAAUUACUGGGCGUAAAGGGCGCGUAGGCGGCCCGCUAAGUCGAACGUGAAAUCCCCGAGCUCAACUCGGGAACUGCGUCCGAUACUGGCGGGCUUGAAUCCGGGAGAGGGAUGCGGAAUUCCAGGUGUAGCGGUGAAAUGCGUAGAUAUCUGGAGGAACACCGGUGGCGAAGGCGGCAUCCUGGACCGGCAUUGACGCUGAGGCGCGAAAGCUAGGGGAGCAAACGGG
This 253-nucleotide ribosomal RNA is filed under the name uncultured bacterium. Its description in RNAcentral is "partial 16S ribosomal RNA". It matches the Rfam family "Bacterial small subunit ribosomal RNA", at positions 524 to 776 of the family's 1533-position model. The record is from RNAcentral.